This is a non-coding RNA of Cordylochernes scorpioides, 75 nucleotides long. Lineage: Eukaryota; Metazoa; Arthropoda; Arachnida; Pseudoscorpiones; Chernetidae. The record is from the annotation of a GenBank genome assembly.
UGUUUAAUGCGGGAAUCGAACCCGGGUCGUAGUGGUCGAAAACCACCAGCCUUCCACCGACCCCCUUGGGUUAUC